Long non-coding RNA from Oxyura jamaicensis (ruddy duck), 1096 nucleotides. RefSeq lists it as uncharacterized. The transcript is spliced from 2 exons. The record is from RefSeq and is a predicted model, not a curated record. NCBI's taxonomy places the organism in Eukaryota, Metazoa, Chordata, Aves, Anseriformes, Anatidae.
AUGUCUAAACUGAGCUUUUCCUCUAAGCAAUCUACUGAGACAGAGAAGCACUGAGUUUGUGGCUCCUGCCGCUAUAUCCUGGGGGUUUACUUCCAUCUGGAAGACAACAUCCACUGAAAGUCAAGAUGCACUUAGAAAGGCUUUCAUGUGUUCCCAAUUGCACUGAUCCUAUGCACUACUGUGAUACUGGGGAACAAAUGAGUACUGAUACAGAUCAGUAUACAACAGAUGCAGAGUGGGAAGGUGUUUUAGUCUACAAGAAAAAAACAUCUUGCUCCAGAGAAAAAGAAGAUACUCAACAAAAUUAAGUAGAAGACUGUGCUAAAGCAAUAUUCGUUACAGGUCAUCUCAACUAUAAUGUUAUCCAAAAAGUAACAUUAAAAAUUACCUAGUUGUAUCUUCAGAUUUACCUAUAUGUCAACAAAAUCUCCAAAUAAACUUCUGUCCUUGGAGUCAAAGCUACAGUCCUUUCUGCAGCUUGAUUUCUCUUCACCUGAGCUCCAAGACAGCCUGAUGUAGGCUAAAGACUGUUUUCAGAUUCAGUGAUUCCUCCUGAUUGCACCAUCCUGGGAUUAGCGCUACCUCACGUUGACCAAGUUCAGGCCGCAUGAAGAACAUGGCAGACUGUGCAGAAGACUGUAAAAUAGAAGACUCCUUGGGCUGAGGCCAGAAGUGGUUUUUCAAGAAACUCUGGAAACACUUCAUGGCCACCUCUUCUACGCUAAAAAGAUGACUGUAACUAUGCUCCCAUACCAUCUGGGAAUAAAACAUAAUAUUCCUCACUUAGAUGAGCAUCCACGUCACCACAGGCAAACUUGGAGGACUCAGUGUGGUUAUUACCUCCUGUCCUGGUGGAAAUAAAACUUCAAAUGCUCAGAUCUAACCUUCCUCUGGGUCAACAGGAAUGGUGCUGAGCAUUUUACCGGGUUUAUGGCACAGGUAGGCAACAGAGGAAUGCAGCUAUACAAAACAGCUCACAACACGUACUAACUAAUAAUUUUCCAUCUUAAGAUUGAACACAGGCAAAUGAAAGUCUAUGUUAUUUACUCUUGAACCCAGGCCAAGACUUCAAACUUAAGAUACAAAUUCCACUCAU